Molecule: ribosomal RNA, 253 nt
Filed under: uncultured bacterium
Lineage: Bacteria
Description: partial 16S ribosomal RNA
Rfam family: Bacterial small subunit ribosomal RNA
Source: RNAcentral
UACGUAGGAUGCAAGCGUUGUCCGGAAUCAUUGGGCGUAAAGCGUGCGCAGGCGGUUCGUUGUGUCGGUGGUGAAAGCCCCGGGCUUAACCUGGGAAUGGCCAUGGAAACUGGCGAACUGGAGUGUGGCAGAGGGGGGUGGAAUUCCGCGUGUAGCAGUGAAAUGCGUAGAGAUGCGGAGGAACACCGAUGGCGAAGGCAGCCCCCUGGGCUAGCACUGACGCUCAGGCACGAAAGCGUGGGGAGCAAACAGG